UUGGAUUAGCCCUUAAGAUUUAAAUGCGUUAGACGAAUGGUCUGGAAAGGCCAACGAUACCGGGUGAUAGUCCCGUGGUCAUAGGCGCAUGUUCAGUGAAAUCGAGUAGGGCGGGACACGUGUUAUCCUGACUGAAUAAGGGGGGACCAUCCUCCAAGGCUAAAUACUCCUGACUGACCGAUAGUGAACCGGUACCGUGAGGGAAAGGCGAAAAGAACCCCUGUGAGGGGAGUGAAAUAGAACCUGAAACCGUGUACGUACAAGCAGUAGGAGCACCUUCGUGGUGUGACGGCGUUCCUGUUGUAGAAUGGGUCAGCGGCUUAAUGUUAGUAGCAAGGUUAACCUUAUAGGGGCGCCGUAGGGAAAGCGAGUCUUAAC
This 378-nucleotide ribosomal RNA is filed under the name Vibrio sp. S234-5. RNAcentral describes it as "bacterial LSU rRNA". It matches the Rfam family "Bacterial large subunit ribosomal RNA", at positions 296 to 688 of the family's 2925-position model. Lineage: Bacteria; Pseudomonadati; Pseudomonadota; Gammaproteobacteria; Vibrionales; Vibrionaceae. The record is from RNAcentral.